UCUAGUGGUCCCCGUGGUCCAACCAGGACUACUGGGUCGGUAGUGGCUACGACACUGCGUGUAACUGCUCUACUAGCCCUCCGAGUAACGACCAAACCUUCGAUCCCCCCACAAGCUCCUACACUUGUAAUAAAACCAACCCCUAGUACCCUACCAACCCUGGACGCUGGUCUUCGAUCACAAAGAGCUCCCUAACCGAGGUACCUAACUCCACUUCCGACUAACCCAAGAAAGCUCCUGUGGUAACGACCGUUAGUCCGGUGGUCUACCACAUAGGGGCCGUCACCAGCACCGGUUCUACUUACUUCCCGACUCGAGACCCUUCCACUUCUUACCCGUUAUAGACUUCUACAUGAACUUCCUCCUAAACGGAAGAGCGGACGUAAUGAGCCUUUCGAUAUCCUAUGGUGGUUAAUAACCCGACCAUCGACUUCCAAUAUUCCACCUCUACUUUCAUAGUUUCUUUUUACUCACACCUCCCCGCGUGCCCAUACUGUUACGGAAGAAGAGUUACUCCUGGUAUAAGUAGCGUGUGCCCGGAGCAAAGCUUCUCCCAUUUUAACACGGGAGCAAACAAUUACACCUCUAUAUGUUACAGUAACGAAGGUAAGAGUCAAACUUCGGUCGAGGUUUGUUACCGAGGUCAAGAAAGGGACCUUGUCAAGAAAAUGGCUCACUUACUAGUGGCCACAUACACUCUCGACACCAAGACCUCCUCUUUUUGGGUGACUACCAUAAUAGAAGGCCAACAUCAACAUAAACAUGUGAUAAAUUUAAGUUUAAGACGCUGCACGUCGAUAAGCGAUGACGAUUAUGACGUUCGUCUCUUAGGAAAAGGUAUUCCUACAGUAAACGGUUACGUUUAGUGUAGAUUGGAAAAGUAGAAGACACUACGAUUUACAUACUACGGUGAAGAAAAUUC
Molecule: ribosomal RNA, 922 nt
Filed under: Triticum aestivum (bread wheat)
Lineage: Eukaryota; Viridiplantae; Streptophyta; Magnoliopsida; Poales; Poaceae
Description: partial small subunit ribosomal RNA
Source: RNAcentral